GGAAUAUUGCGCAAUGGGGGAAACCCUGACGCAGCAACGCCGCGUGGAGGAUGAAGGCCUUCGGGUCGUAAACUCCUGUCAGAUGGGACGAAAAAGCUCGAGCGAAACACUCGGGCCCUUGACGGUACCAUCAGAGGAAGCCCCGGCGAACCCCGUGCCGGCAGCCGCGGUAAUACGGAGGGGGCAAGCGUUAUUCGGAAUUAUUGGGCGUAAAGGGCGCGUAGGCGGCGUGGUAAGUCAAAGGUGAAAUCCCUCGGCCCAACCGAGGACCUGCCUUUGAAACUGCCUAGCUUGAGGCCGGGAGAGGGUAGUGGAAUUCCCAGUGUAGCGGUGAAAUGCGUAGAUAUUGGGAGGAACACCAGUGGCGAAGGCGACUGCCUGGACCGGUUCUGACGCUGAGGCGCGAAAGCGUGGGGAGCAAAC
Molecule: ribosomal RNA, 423 nt
Filed under: uncultured bacterium
Lineage: Bacteria
Description: bacterial SSU rRNA
Rfam family: Bacterial small subunit ribosomal RNA
Source: RNAcentral